UGAUAAAUUUACAAUAUUUCUCAACCGCCUAUGUUAAAUCUACAUUUCGUUUAACCUAUAAACGUUCAAAAAGAGGUUAUGAAAUCUUGAAAUCAACGUUCGGUUACACGUUGAAACAAUUAUUUUCUUCGCACACUCGAAAAUGAGUUUAAAUCCAAAUACACAUGAUUGUUCGAGCCACAUGUUCGAUACGAGAAAUCGAAAAUUAGACGACGAUUGGCCUCACUUAAUUCGGAAAAAAUCGCGGAAUGGCCGCGACGCGAUCACGAAGAAGGAGUAGGUGGGGGAAAGGAAGGACGGUGAGGAAGAGAGGAGGGAGGAAAGAGGGGAAGGAAGAUCGAUGGCGGGCCAGGAGUGGCUGUUAUUUUUUCCACGAGGGACACGUGGCUACGUGGCGACCGCCACGUUAAGUAAAAUGUUUAGUUAACGCGCUCGUUAAACGGUAUUGAGGGUAUCUGGAGUGGAAGAAUCGCGUGGAACAGGUGAAUAGCGGGUUACGAGACACCUUUGUCUCGUGAAAAACCGGGGGAAUCUAAUAUCAUCGCGGAGAAGACACAAAGAAGGGAACGCGUGAAACGCGAACGCGGUUGAAAAACAUUUGCGCAACGGAAUGCAAAACCGGUCUAAACUCUUCGCAGCGCGCGUUGAAAUAAAGGCAAGAGGAAUCCUAUUAAAUCUCUUUUCUUUGCGCCUUCUUCUUUCUUUUUUUCUUUCUUUUUUCUUUCUUUUCCUCUUUAUUCGAGCUCACUCGAAUUUACUUCCACAUCCUUUUGAUCGGUCGGUGAAAGUUUUCCAUCUUGUGAAAAUUGUGAAAAGUUUUUUCUCUUCGGGGAAGAAGAUUUUUCGUCGAGUAGAGAGUAGCGCAUAGUUUUUGUCUCUGGGAUAUCGUUUUUACUCACGAGUUUCUCCGCUUUGUUAAAAAUUUGUUAAAAAAUAUUUUAUACGUGGAGAAAAAAAAAUUACGUUGAAAGGUCGAAUUUCGUCUAUCUCUCUGUUAAGUUACGAUCGUUAAAAAUACGGAAUUUUCCUUUUGACGUGAGGCACGAGUAAUAAAAAGACAUUUUUUUUUUUUUUUUAUGAUCGUGAUUCUACGUUUCUUUUCACGCUGUGUAUUACGAGCAAUGUAAACAAGGGAAACACGAAUGAAAGAGAAAAUCGGGAAAAGUUAAUUGGAACAAAUUGGAAUUUGUAUUGCGCGAGAAUCGAAACAUGAUUUGGAUAUCAAGAAUGGUAAUUUGAACGUUGAUCGGCCAAGUGAGAUUUAUCAUACAGUGAAAUACGUAUUCGUUUUAAUCCGAUUUGAAGGAGGGAGGAGGAAAACAAGUAUUCGCGUAAUCAUCUCUCUAUUCACGAUUUUCCACUCGUAAUAUAUCGAUAAGUAAAAAAAAAAAAAAAAUUCAUAAGCUUAUUUUUAUUAUUAUUACUAUCAUAAUAACGCAAAUUAUAUACGUAUCAAUGACUCAUAGUUGCAAAAUGAGAAUGUAUAAUAUAACUUGAGCAGGAAAGGAAAAAAAAAAAAAAUACCGUCAUUAUAUUCAUAUUCAUCGAUCGUUACGUCGAACAGGAAGUGAAGUCACCCGAUUAAAUCAAACCGUCCGUAAAGACAUUUUUUUUAACCGAACGUUCGAUAAUCAUUUUUGCAAGCGAAAUAUUAUCAUACCGAGAAUCAACUUUCGAAAAAAUCCUACUCUCGAAAACAGAUACAUUUAUUUGAAAAUGUAAAACUUUCCACUAUUUGACAGGAUUUUUCAUUUUCAACCUAUACGAAAUAUCGAGCUGAAUUUGAUUAAAAGUGAAGGAUUUCUUCUUUUUGGACGAAGAAAAAUGGAUUGUUUAUACGGAAAUAAAAAUCGAAAGUUUCGAAAAGAUUAAAGUUAAAAUUUCGCACGAAAAGGAAAAAGUUUAAAAUUAUGUGAAAUUACAAGAGAAAAAAAAAAAAAGAAAAAAGAAAAAUUCUAUCAACAGACCGGCGACGAAAGUUUUCUUGGCAGAAACGAUACGAUUGUAUCUGUCCGCUGGUGGCCGAAUAACAGGAAAAUUAGCACAAGAUCGUGCCCCUCGUGUAUACACGUGUGUGAGUGUGUGAAUGUCCCCACUGUUGAUACAGUAGCUAUCGAUGGAAGUGGGUCGGUUCGUCAGUCUGUCCCAGCCUGUUUUCAGCGAAAACGUGUCCAUCCGACAAGAGGAUGUUUCAAGUCUCUCUCUCGUACGUAACCGGUUACACAGGGUUAUAAAAGACAUUUGCAACUUGCGUGAGAGAUCGAUUGCGAUGGUGUGAUUACGAGGAGAAAAGAAAAGAAAAGGAAGGAAAAUAGAGAAAUAAAUCAGAGUCACACGCGUGUACGAGUAUAACAAGUAUAUGUAAUAUUUGCAUACAUGUUCGUACGUGUGUAUAUAACAUCAUUUUGACGACUUUAGCAUUGAGGCAUUGAAAGUGUGUUGUACAGAUAAAAUUACAUUGUAACAAGGAAUAGCAGCCUUGCAACUUGAAUUCUUUUCCCUUUAUUGAAGAUAAAUGGAAGUAAGUACAAACUUGGGCAGAAAAAUUAAUAUAAAAGGAAGAAAUUUUAAAAAUAGUAUUAUCAAUAAUAAACUCGUACAAUUGUUCUUAUUCAUCUAUGAUAAUCUGUACUCUCAACGUUUACAUCUGUAAUCAUCUAGAUCCCAGUGUAACAACAUUAAAAUUUCCAAAUAUAUGUUUUCGAGUCGUGAGAUUGGAGGUUUUGAUAAUAUAGAACAUACACGAUUUUGUAUUAAAUUUUGAAUUCUGUGAAUGCAAGAAAGAGAGAAAGAGAGAGAAAUAGAAAGAGAGAAAGAAAUAGAAUAUAUAUAUAGAGAGAAAGAGAGAGAAAGGGGGUAAGAAGGAGGGGACGUGACACGCUUAUCAGGAGGCAAAACAACACCAUAUCUAUAUAGGUAUAUUUCAAUACGAUAAUGUCACACGGUGCAACCAGCGUUAUUACAAUACGAUCUUGGUAUAUAUACGUACACGGAGUAAACAUGGGCAGUUGAAUACUACGGAUUCGUCCCAGGUGUAAAAGAAACAGGAAGAAGCUAAAUCGUAGACAAUAUAGGAACAGAGAGACUUUAUAUGUAUAUAGUAGAGGAGAGAGAGAGAAAAUCUCAAAAAAAAAGAAUAAAAUGAAAACUGCAAGAUACAGCAUUUUAAUUAAAAAGAACAGUGUAUAUAUGUAUGUGUGUAUGUGUGUACGGUAAUUGAUAAAGGUAAAGAGCUACUAAAGAGGUAAUAGCAUUAACCCGUGCCAGCUGGAAUCUAAGGCAAGGGUGUGUAUUUUCAUAUUUAUCUCAAGAAAGAGAGAAAGAAAGAGGGGAAAGAGAGAGGGAGAGAGAGAGAGAAAAAAAAUGAUAAAAAAAAGGGGAGGGGGAAAGAAAAUUGCGGGCAGUUUCUUUGUACUUUAUGUGUGGAUAUAUAUAUAUUGUAUAUAUAUAUUGUAUAUAAUCGUACAGAGAGAAAGAAGAUGGAUGGUAAGGGAGCCCGCGGGAGCUCUCUCGCGUUUCUUAUCGAGCAUCUUUUUCUCUCUCGAUGCCUGUGUGUGGUGAAACGGGG
Apis mellifera (honey bee) is the source of this 3568-nucleotide long non-coding RNA. RefSeq lists it as uncharacterized. Lineage: Eukaryota; Metazoa; Arthropoda; Insecta; Hymenoptera; Apidae. The transcript has 5 exons. The record is from RefSeq and is a predicted model, not a curated record.